This 301-nucleotide ribosomal RNA is filed under the name uncultured bacterium. RNAcentral's name for it is "partial 16S ribosomal RNA". It matches the Rfam family "Bacterial small subunit ribosomal RNA", at positions 509 to 807 of the family's 1533-position model. The record is from RNAcentral.
CAGCAGCCGCGGGAAUACGAAGGGGGCUAGCGUUGUUCGGAAUUACUGGGCGUAAAGCGCACGUAGGCGGAUACUUAAGUUAGGGGUGAAAUCCCAGGGCUCAACCCUGGAACUGCCUUUAAUACUGGGUAUCUUGAGUUCGAGAGAGGUAAGUGGAAUUCCGAGUGUAGAGGUGAAAUUCGUAGAUAUUCGGAGGAACACCAGUGGCGAAGGCGGCUUACUGGCUCGAUACUGACGCUGAGGUGCGAAAGCGUGGGGAGCAAACAGGAUUAGAUACCCCUGUAGUCCCUGUCUCUUAUAC